GGGGCGUUAGCUCAGCUGGUAGAGCAGCGGACUUUUAAUCCGUUGGUCACAAGUUCGAAUCUUGUACGCCCUACCA
RNAcentral lists this transfer RNA (76 nucleotides) under Steroidobacteraceae bacterium. RNAcentral's name for it is "tRNA-Lys". It matches the Rfam family "tRNA". Rfam says of the family: Transfer RNA (tRNA) molecules are approximately 80 nucleotides in length. Their secondary structure includes four short double-helical elements and three loops (D, anti-codon, and T loops). Further hydrogen bonds mediate the characteristic L-shaped molecular structure. tRNAs have two regions of fundamental functional importance: the anti-codon, which is responsible for specific mRNA codon recognition, and the 3' end, to which the tRNAs corresponding amino acid is attached (by aminoacyl-tRNA synthetases). tRNAs cope with the degeneracy of the genetic code in two manners: having more than one tRNA (with a specific anti-codon) for a particular amino acid; and 'wobble' base-pairing, i.e. permitting non-standard base-pairing at the 3rd anti-codon position. RNAcentral also lists the same sequence under 3 other names. The record is from RNAcentral. Lineage: Bacteria; Pseudomonadati; Pseudomonadota; Gammaproteobacteria; Steroidobacterales; Steroidobacteraceae.